CACUAUCGUUAACUGAAUACAUAGGUUAACGAGGCGAACCGGGGGAACUGAAACAUCUAAGUACCCCGAGGAAAAGAAAUCAACCGAGAUUCCCCCAGUAGCGGCGAGCGAACGGGGAGCAGCCCAGAGUCUGAAUCAGCUUGUGUGUUAGUGGAACGGUCUGGAAAGUCCGACGGUACAGGGUGAUAGUCCCGUACACCAAAAUGCACAGGCUGUGAACUCGAAGAGUAGGGCGGGACACGUGGUAUCCUGUCUGAAUAUGGGGGGACCAUCCUCCAAGGCUAAAUACUCCUGACUGACCGAUAGUGAACCAGUACCGUGAGGGAAAGGCGAAAAGAACCCCGGCGAGGGGAGUGAAAAAGAACCUGAAACCGUGUACGUACAAGCAGUGGGAGCACCUUCGGGUGUGACUGCGUACCUUUUGUAUAAUGGGUCAGCGACUUAUAUUCUGUAGCAAGGUUAACCGUAUAGGGGAGCCGCAGGGAAACCGAGUCUUAACUGGGCGUUAAGUUGCAGGGUAUAGACCCGAAACCCGGUGAUCUAGCCAUGGGCAGGUUGAAGGUUGGGUAACACUAACUGGAGGACCGAACCGACUAAUGUUGAAAAAUUAGCGGAUGACUUGUGGCUGGGGGUGAAAGGCCAAUCAAACCGGGAGAUAGCUGGUUCUCCCCGAAAGCUAUUUAGGUAGCGCCUCGUGAACUCAUCUUCGGGGGUAGAGCACUGUUUCGGCUAGGGGGUCAUCCCGACUUACCAACCCGAUGCAAACUACGAAUACCGAAGAAUGUUAUCACGGGAGACACACGGCGGGUGCUAACGUCCGUCGUGAAGAGGGAAACAACCCAGACCGCCAGCUAAGGUCCCAAAGUCAUGGUUAAGUGGGAAACGAUGUGGGAAGGCACAGACAGCCAGGAUGUUGGCUUAGAAGCAGCCAUCAUUUAAAGAAAGCGUAAUAGCUCACUGGUCGAGUCGGCCUGCGCGGAAGAUGUAACGGGGCUAAACCAUGCACCGAAGCUGCGGCAGCGACACUAUGUGUUGUUGGGUAGGGGAGCGUUCUGUAAGCCUGCGAAGGUGNNNNNNNNNNNNNNNNNNNNUGCUGGAGGUAUCAGAAGUGCGAAUGCUGACAUAAGUAACGAUAAAGCGGGUGAAAAGCCCGCUCGCCGGAAGACCAAGGGUUCCUGUCCAACGUUAAUCGGGGCAGGGUGAGUCGACCCCUAAGGCGAGGCCGAAAGGCGUAGUCGAUGGGAAACAGGUUAAUAUUCCUGUACUUGGUGUUACUGCGAAGGGGGGACGGAGAAGGCUAUGUUAGCCGGGCGACGGUUGUCCCGGUUUAAGCAUGUAGGCUGAUUGUCCAGGCAAAUCCGGAUAAUCAAGGCUGAGGUGUGAUGACGAGGCACUACGGUGCUGAAGUAACAAAUGCCCUGCUUCCAGGAAAAGCCUCUAAGCAUCAGGUAACAUUAAAUCGUACCCCAAACCGACACAGGUGGUCAGGUAGAGAAUACCAAGGCGCUUGAGAGAACUCGGGUGAAGGAACUAGGCAAAAUGGUGCCGUAACUUCGGGAGAAGGCACGCUGGUGUGUAGGUGAAGCCCCUGCGGGUGGAGCUGAGACCAGUCGAAGAUACCAGCUGGCUGCAACUGUUUAUUAAAAACACAGCACUGUGCAAACACGAAAGUGGACGUAUACGGUGUGACGCCUGCCCGGUGCCGGAAGGUUAAUUGAUGGGGUUAUCCGUAAGGAGAAGCUCUUGAUCGAAGCCCCGGUAAACGGCGGCCGUAACUAUAACGGUCCUAAGGUAGCGAAAUUCCUUGUCGGGUAAGUUCCGACCUGCACGAAUGGCGUAAUGAUGGCCAGGCUGUCUCCACCCGAGACUCAGUGAAAUUGAACUCGCUGUGAAGAUGCAGUGUACCCGCGGCAAGACGGAAAGACCCCGUGAACCUUUACUAUAGCUUGACACUGAACAUUGAGCCUUGAUGUGUAGGAUAGGUGGGAGGCUUUGAAGCGUGGACGCCAGUCUGCGUGGAGCCAACCUUGAAAUACCACCCUUUAAUGUUUGAUGUUCUAACGUUGGCCCCUGACCGGGGUUGCGGACAGUGUCUGGUGGGUAGUUUGACUGGGGCGGUCUCCUCCCAAAGCGUAACGGAGGAGCACGAAGGUUAGCUAAUCCUGGUCGGACAUCAGGAGGUUAGUGCAAUGGCAUAAGCUAGCUUGACUGCGAGCGUGACGGCGCGAGCAGGUGCGAAAGCAGGUCAUAGUGAUCCGGUGGUUCUGAAUGGAAGGGCCAUCGCUCAACGGAUAAAAGGUACUCCGGGGAUAACAGGCUGAUACCGCCCAAGAGUUCAUAUCGACGGCGGUGUUUGGCACCUCGAUGUCGGCUCAUCACAUCCUGGGGCUGAAGUAGGUCCCAAGGGUAUGGCUGUUCGCCAUUUAAAGUGGUACGCGAGCUGGGUUUAGAACGUCGUGAGACAGUUCGGUCCCUAUCUGCCGUGGGCGCUGGAGAAUUGAGGGGGGCUGCUCCUAGUACGAGAGGACCGGAGUGGACGCAUCACUGGUGUUCGGGUUGUCAUGCCAAUGGCACUGCCCGGUAGCUAAAUGCGGAAGAGAUAAGUGCUGAAAGCAUCUAAGCACGAAACUUGCCCCGAGAUGAGUUCUCCCUGAGACUUUAAGUCUCCUGAAGGAACGUUAAAGACGAUGACGUUGAUAGGCCGGGUGUGUAAGCGCAGCGAUGCGUUGAGCUAACCGGUACUAAUGAACCGUGAGGCUUAACCUU
This 2766-nucleotide ribosomal RNA is filed under the name Klebsiella pneumoniae. RNAcentral describes it as "bacterial LSU rRNA". It matches the Rfam family "Bacterial large subunit ribosomal RNA". Lineage: Bacteria; Pseudomonadati; Pseudomonadota; Gammaproteobacteria; Enterobacterales; Enterobacteriaceae. The record is from RNAcentral.